Triticum aestivum (bread wheat) is the source of this 2180-nucleotide long non-coding RNA. RefSeq lists it as uncharacterized. The transcript has 3 exons. The record is from RefSeq and is a predicted model, not a curated record. Lineage: Eukaryota; Viridiplantae; Streptophyta; Magnoliopsida; Poales; Poaceae.
UUCUCUGGUUGAAAUUGGAGCCCCGUGUAGUUUAGUGUUGAUCUGAGCUACACACCAGCGAUUGCACAAGGUUGUAUUCAAGAGAAUUUUGGAUGGUUGCGGCUGCUGCUGCUACUGGAUGCAGUUGUUUGAAUUAUAAAGGAAUUCAGUGGGUAAUGUGUCAGAAAGUUGGACAAUUUAGCUAUGGAUAUUUUCAAUAUUUAGCAACUUAAUUUUGGGUUUCAGUGUUCUAUACAUGAAUUUCUGAUGCCUUGCACUUCUAGGAGUUGUGGUUUAUUUAUGCAAACAUGAACCUUAUAUAAGUAUGUGGUGUUCCAUUGAUGUGUCCAAAUGACCUUGAAAUAUAAAAUUGAAUUGUGUAAGUGAAUUGAUGAUGAUACAUGCUUCAGUUUCUAAAGAUUGGGAAGCAAUCCUCGUGACAUUUCCAUGCGAAUCUUUUUAAAUCCACUUUUGGGUGACUCAUUUUUUAUUAUAUUGAAUUUAAAUUCACAUUGCCAUGCUAAGAUUUGUGAAAACUGUUCACUUUUUCUUUUCUGGGUGUAGCAUCUGCAGGCCUACAUGCAAUCAUUAUUUUUGUUAAGCAACAGAAUGCUACAGUUAUGUAGAGAGUUAGAGGCGAGGGGCGAUGAGAGUUGGUUUAUGUUGAUAUUCAACUGGUUGCUUCUUAUGGUUUGGUACGUCUAUAUAAUGCUCACAUGUAUUUCGCUGCAUUUGCCUAAAAAGUGUAUCCGUGUAGAUUUUCAGUUCAAAGGUUUGCAUUAAGUAUAUUUUCACUCCAUGCGCAUGAUACAUUUCUUACCACCCAAUGUGCUGUUUAGGGGAAACUGAUCCUUCUAAUCUGGCAUUCUUUUUGGUCUUCCCUGCUUUAGGUAGUUCAUGCUGACUCCUUAAUUCUUCAGUGAUAAUGAGUUAUUCAUGGAUCUAGCAACUGAUUGUAUUUGCUUUGUCUCGAGAUCAUGGAUACUUUUUUUCAUGAGAUCAUGGAUACUUGAAUGCCCUUUGUUGACAAUAUAUGGUUUCUGAUUGUUUUCAUACGUUUAUGCCUCUUCUGAGGUUGCGAAACCCAUUUAUUUUCCCAAAGAUCACUUGUGCCUACUAAGUCUUGGGAUCCAUUUUUUUUCCUAUGUGACCAAUCCCUAGAAGAACGCAUGCUCCCUAGCCAUAGAAGAAAUCAGCAGGUGGACAAAGUUCAGGGCCUGAGGCAGCAAUAGUUCUUCAAAGGCACUGGGCAAUAAUUGAUUGGUUGAAGGUAGCAUUUUCUGUCGAGCUUCAAUUGACAGGGAAGAAAUUGUUUCUAUAUGUGCCUUUGGUUUUCUUUCACUUAGGGAGUUCGUACAGUUCUUUUUUCAGGGCAAGAGAUUCUUCUGCUAGAUAAGAAAGAGCACUCUGAUUAAUUAGAUCAGAAGUUACUUUUUCCAUCGAGCUUCAGUUGACAUGGAAGAAAUUUUUUCUGUCUAUGCCUUUGGUUUUAUUUUACUUAGGGAGUUUGUAUAGUUUUUUUCAGGGGAAGAUAUUCUUCAGCUGGAUGAGAAAGAGCACUCUAAUUAAUUAGAUCAGAAGUUGCGUGUGAUGAUGAUUGCUUGUGCAGACUACAAUGGUACCAACCACCAGGCAUGGUCGUCAGUGAGGCGCCGUCAGUGGACAUGAAAAUCAUUUUGAGGAAACAGUGAACAAAAAAGUUGGGGCAUCCUGGGUAAUCAGCUUGGAGAAGCCCAGAAAAAUCUGACAGGAGUGGUGACAGUAGCAGCGGCAUGCCUGAUACAAGACCCCUGAAUAGUGAUUGGGGCAUUAAAGCCAUGAAAACAGAAUUUCACUUCGGAUAGCUGCAUGUGUACAUAUGUGGUGGAGGAACUCAACAAUUUCCAGUAAAAGUAAACGUUUUUGCAGUCAAAGGUAAUCUUUGCUACAUCUGUUAUUGAAUAUAUGCUAGGGAGGACAGUAGCAGUUUUGAGAUGUUUGUGUGUUAAAUCCAUUGUAGGCUUUCCAUCUGUGUGUUAUUCAUAAUCUUAUUGGGCUUCAAUUUUAUGUUGCAUGAUGCAGAUAAAUUUAUUGGUUAUUUAAAAUAUCAACAUAUAUUUUCUAUAUCUGGAAGGAUGGGCCACAUUGAACUCACUAAUUCAUUUACAAGCGCACAUGAACUGCUAAUACAGGCCGGUCAUGUUUUCCAACUUUUCCUUCUU